RNAcentral lists this ribosomal RNA (501 nucleotides) under uncultured bacterium. RNAcentral's name for it is "partial 16S ribosomal RNA". It matches the Rfam family "Bacterial small subunit ribosomal RNA", at positions 30 to 523 of the family's 1533-position model. The record is from RNAcentral.
AUUGAACGCUGGCGGCAUGCCUUACACAUGCAAGUCGAACGGCAGCACGGGUGCUUGCACCUGGUGGCGAGUGGCGAACGGGUGAGUAAUACAUCGGAACGUACCUUAUCGUGGGGGAUAACACAGCGAAAGUUGCGCUAAUACCGCAUACGCCCUGAGGGGGAAAGCGGGGGACCGUAAGGCCUCGCGCGAUUAGAGCGGCCGAUGUCUGAUUAGCUUGUUGGUGAGGUAAAAGCUCACCAAGGCGAUGAUCAGUAGCUGGUCUGAGAGGACGAUCAGCCACACUGGGACUGGGACACGGCCCAGACUCCUACGGGAGGCAGCAGUGGGGAAUUUUGGACAAUGGGGGCAACCCUGAUCCAGCAAUGCCGCGUGAGUGAAGAAGGCCUUCGGGUUGUAAAGCUCUUUUGUCAGGGAAGAAACAGCAGCUCUAACACAGUCUGCGAAUGACGGUACCUGAAGAAUAAGCACCGGCUAACUACGUGCCAGCCGCCGCGGUAA